GAGGGCAAGUCUGGUGCCAGCAGCCGCGGUAAUACCAGCUCCAAUAGCGUAUAUUAAAGUUGUUGCAGUUAAAAAGCUCGUAGUUGGACUUGUGUGCAUGGGAACUCGCGGUCUUCGUCCAAAAGGGCGUUACGACAUGCGGUUCCUGUGCCGUAAAAUCUUCAACUGGAUCGCACCUGGUCUUGAUUGACUGGGAGCUGUCAUUCGGUUGAUCGUUUACUGUGAGAAAAUUAGAGUGUUCAAGGCAGGCAUAAUUGCAAUUGAAUAUGUUAGCAUGGAAUAAUAAGAUAAAGGCUUCUGCAUUUUUUUGGUUUCUAGAGUGGAAGUAAUGAUUGAUAGGGAUAGUUGGGG
This 351-nucleotide ribosomal RNA is filed under the name uncultured Plasmodiophoridae. RNAcentral's name for it is "SSU rRNA". It matches the Rfam family "Eukaryotic small subunit ribosomal RNA", at positions 551 to 887 of the family's 1831-position model. The record is from RNAcentral. Lineage: Eukaryota; Endomyxa; Phytomyxea; Plasmodiophorida.